This 755-nucleotide ribosomal RNA is filed under the name uncultured Gymnomyces. RNAcentral describes it as "eukaryotic LSU rRNA". The stretch from base 283 to 436 matches the Rfam family "5.8S ribosomal RNA". The record is from RNAcentral. Lineage: Eukaryota; Fungi; Basidiomycota; Agaricomycetes; Russulales; Russulaceae.
CUUGGUCAUUUAGAGGAAGUAAAAGUCGUAACAAGGCUUCCGUAGGUGAACCUGCGGAAGGAUCAUUAUUGAAAUAGCACGACGGGAAGCUGUCGCUGGCCCUAGUGGCCGUGCACGCUUUCUGUCCUUCAUUUCUCCAUCUAUUUGUGCACCUCUUGCGUAGACCCCUCUGUUAGGACUGCUUUGCAAAAUUGAUUGUGGGCUUUCCUUGUUUCUACGUCGUCAUAUACACCAGUGUAACGAUUUGGAAUGAAUGGAAUUUUGAUGCAAUAUACAAAGCACAACUUUCAGCAACGGAUCUCUUGGCUCUCGCAUCGAUGAAGAACGCAGCGAAAUGCGAUAAGUAAUGUGAAUUGCAGAAUUCAGUGAAUCAUCGAAUCUUUGAACGCACCUUGCGCCCCUUGGCAUUCCGAGGGGCACACCCGUUUGAGUGUCGUGAAAUUAUCAAAGCCCCCUUUUCUUUGAAGGAGUUUUGGACUUGGAGGUUCAAUGCUUGCCUUUCACUUUUGAAAGUGAGCUCCUCCCAAAUAAAUUAGUGGGGUCCGCUUUGCUGAUCCUUAACGUGAUAAGAUGUUUCUAUGUUUUGGAUUUGGCACUGUCCCUUGGAUGCCUGCUCCUAACCGUCUCACGGACAAUGAUGGUGCUUCGGUCACUACCAUUUAUAUUGGUGGAAGGCUGGACCCACGAAAAUAAAACCUUGACCUCAAAUCGGGUGAGACUACCCGCUGAACUUAAGCAUAUCAAUAAGCGGAGGA